This 253-nucleotide ribosomal RNA is filed under the name uncultured bacterium. Its description in RNAcentral is "partial 16S ribosomal RNA". It matches the Rfam family "Bacterial small subunit ribosomal RNA", at positions 524 to 776 of the family's 1533-position model. The record is from RNAcentral.
UACGUAGGGGGCAAGCGUUGUCCGGAUUUAUUGGGCGUAAAGAGCGUGUAGGCGGCCAUGUAGGUCCGUUGUGAAAACUCGAGGCUCAACCUCGAGACGCCGAUGGAAACCAUGUGGCUAGAGUCCGGAAGAGGAGAGUGGAAUUCCUGGUGUAGCGGUGAAAUGCGCAGAUAUCAGGAGGAACACCAGCGGCGAAGGCGGCGCUCUGGGCCGGAACUGACGCUGAGGAGCGAAAGCGUGGGUAGCAAACAGG